This 390-nucleotide ribosomal RNA is filed under the name uncultured bacterium. RNAcentral describes it as "bacterial SSU rRNA". It matches the Rfam family "Bacterial small subunit ribosomal RNA", at positions 30 to 419 of the family's 1533-position model. The record is from RNAcentral.
AUUGAACGCUGGCGGCAUGCCUUACACAUGCAAGUCGAACGGCAGCGCGGGGCAACCUGGCGGCGAGUGGCGAACGGGUGAGUAAUAUAUCGGAACAUACCCUAGAGUGGGGGAUAACGUAGCGAAAGUUACGCUAAUACCGCAUACGCACUAAGGUGGAAAGUGGGGGAUUCGCAAGAACCUCAUGCUCAUGGAGUGGCCGAUAUCUGAUUAGCUAGUUGGUGAGGUAAAGGCUCACCAAGGCGACGAUCAGUAGCUGGUUUGAGAGAACGACCAGCCACACUGGAACUGAGACACGGUCCAGACUCCUACGGAGGCAGCAGUGGGGAAUUUUGGGACAAUGGGGGGCAACCCUGAUCCAGCAAUGCCGCGUGAGUGAAGAAGGCCUUC